This 460-nucleotide ribosomal RNA is filed under the name uncultured bacterium. RNAcentral's name for it is "partial 16S ribosomal RNA". It matches the Rfam family "Bacterial small subunit ribosomal RNA", at positions 338 to 795 of the family's 1533-position model. The record is from RNAcentral.
CCUACGGGUGGCAGCAGUGAGGAAUAUUGGUCAAUGGCCGUAAGGCUGAACCAGCCAAGUCGCGUGAAGGACGAAGGUUCUAUGGUUUGUAAACUUCUUUUAUAGGGGAAUAAAGGUAUCCACGUGUGGCUAUUUGCAUGUACCCUAUGAAUAAGCAUCGGCUAACUCCGUGCCAGCAGCCGCGGUAAUACGGAGGAUGCGAGCGUUAUCCGGAUUUAUUGGGUUUAAAGGGUGCGUAGGUUGUUUUUUAAGUCAGCGGUGAAAGGUUGUGGCUCAACCAUAAAAUUGCCGUUGAAACUGGAAGACUUGAGUGUGUUUGAGGUAUGCGGAAUGCGUGGUGUAGCGGUGAAAUGCAUAGAUAUCACGCAGAACUCCGAUUGCGAAGGCAGCUUACUAAGCCAUAACUGACACUGAAGCACGAAAGCGUGGGGAUCAAACAGGAUUAGAUACCCCUGUAGUC